GCAUUAUUUCUCUUUUAAUUUCUAGUUUCUAAAAAUGAUUUUUAAUAUUUUUUAUUUUGUCAUUUGCUAUUUUUUAAUAAUUUUCUCUUUUCUGGUUAUUUUUAAUUCAUUUUAAAUAGUUUUUCAGAUCCAAAAAAUACCAAAAUAUUUUCUCAACCUCUUUGAACGAUGAUAGAUCUAUGAAAAAUAUUUUCAUCAAUUUAUUAAUUGAUUUGAGAUUUAUUUGAGAUUUUAGUUCAAUUAGGUUAUUUUUAUGCAUUUUUAAUUGAUCAAAAAUAGUUUCUGACUUUUAUAAAUGUUGAAAUUUUUUGUCAAACUUUUUUUGACCUUGUUGAACUUAGGAUAAUUCACUUGGACUUUUCAAAGUUGAUUUGAAGUGAGUUUGAAGUUUGACCUUUCUUUAAUAUUUUAAUUCAAGUUUUAUUUUAAAUAUUAAAAAAUGCCAAAAAUAUUUUGUUUAUUUCUUGACUUCUAAUCUUCAUUUUGCUUCUGUUUUCUAUUGUUUGACCUUGAUCUUCUCUAUCUUUGGUCAUAGCUUGUUGAUUAUCUCAUUCCAUUUCAUUUAAUGCACUUUAAUUCUUCAUGUCUAUUCUUNAGAUUGUUGGCGAACACUUGCCUACGUACCUCUUAAACAAGAUUAGGAUCAAAACCGUCUGUAGUUGGCGUAAAAAUUCAAAAUUGAGUUGGUGAAUUGAUUUGGUCCGAAAGCACUUAAAGGUACUUUUUGUGUUGAUCCAAGGGAGAAAAACUCAAACCUAAAACACAACCCACCAUGUGCAGGAUUAGCUUAACAUGUUAUGAGGGGGUUUAACCCUAUACGAUAAGCAUGGAAGACACAUUGUCCAUCACUAAGGAUAUAGGUGAGUAUUACGAGUCCUAACCUCAAAGCAUAACUCAAGAGCCUGAAUACGCUAAAGGUUUAAAAGAUUUAAUUAAGAAAGUGGCCAUUGAAACCACAAAAGUAUUUGAAUGAUGGUAUUUACGCAAAUGAAUAAGAUAUUUGACAAAAUAUGGUCAAAGGUGAUUUAGAAGUUCAAUUCAAAAAUAAGUGUUAUGAAAAAAGUUUGGGAAAAUCAAAAAAAGCCAUAAGGCUUAGGUUUCCUAAAUGUUGAAAACAAGGUUAAAUGUUGCAAACAAAAGUUUUGGUUUGGGUUUAGAAGGGAGAAGAAGAAUGAAUGGCAAAGUCCUAAUCAUACAUGAAGAGACAAGGGAUAAGAAAACAAGACCAACAAAUGGAGUUCCCUCUCUUUGACGAUCGAUAUUGAUGAAAUCAAGUAGCUCCCAUCUUGGAAUAUGCAAGCAAAAAUUUAAUAGUCGCUCAAGCAAUCAACACAUCAAACAAGCUCCUUAGGCGAAUCCUCAAUGUAUCUGGUUGUAUCUUUCACUUGGAUGAACAUUGGCAAUGGUUCCUUUUAACUCUUGAGCUCUCAUAGGAUCCCCUAGCACAAAAAGCACACACAUCAAAAAGUUCUAUGAAAGUAAAUCAAGAAUGGAACAAGAGUGUUGAGUUUGGGUCCUUCUAGUCCAUCUCAACAUUAAAGGUCCUUGUUACUCCAAUUUGCCAUAGGAAAGUUCUAGAAACUAAGUCGCAUUUGUCCAUAUUCUUUGCAUUUGGUCCACAAACAAUCAAAACAAAAACACAAGCACAAUUAAUUAUACUACACAAUUACGUGUGCUCAAAGUGAGCAAGAAGCAAUUGCAUUAAACAUACAUGUGCUAAAUGAGCAGAAGGGAAAAGAAAUGAUAUAUGUAAGAUAUAGUUAAAUUGAUAAAGUAAGUGCAAGAGUAAAUGUUAAUGGUUAAUUGUUAGUGUUAGUAGUUCAGGUGUCAUAGGCAUUUAAGCGCUAUGUUAAGCAAAUCGUAAUGGAGUUAUUGUGAAGUCACACUAUCUGAGGCGGUUAAUAGUAUAUUUAUGGCAACACAACAAGGUUAGAGGUCUUGAUUGUGAAUCAACACUCUACAACUUGCCAUGGCGCAGAAAGAAGAUGAGAAUGAUCUUGUUUGGUUUAGGUCCUUUUGCAUGUUUUAGAAAGCAAUCUUCCGUUAAUGGAAAGCCAUUCACUUUGAUCAUGUGAUCAAGUGAUUAGAUUUGAAUUCAAGGAAGAUUAAAACCUCCCUAUCAAUGCUAACCAUCGAACCUUUAACUCAUUGAUAAAAAAAGAAAAGAAGAAGAGAAGAAGAUGAAGAAAGUGAAAGAUAGCAUGAAGAAUUAAAGUGCAGCUUAAAUGAUCUCUUGUAUGAUUAGGACUUUAGCCAUUCUUCUUCUUCCCUCCACUCUAACCCAAACCAAAACUUUUGUGCAAACAUUUAACACUUGUUUUCAAACAUUAGAAACCUAAGCCUUAUGCUUUUGAUUUCCAAACUUUCUUUUCAUAACACUUAUUUUGAAUUGAACUUCUAAAUCAACUUUGACCAUAUUUUGUAAAUACUUUUCAUUGGUAAAUACCAUUCAUUCAAAUACUUUUGUGGUUUCAAUGGCCACUUUCUUAAUUAAAUCUUUUAUAACCUUUAGCUAUUAGGUUUGAGUUAUGCUUGAGGUAGAUGUAAUACUCACCUAUAUCCUUAGUGAUGGACAAUGAGUCUUCCAUGCUUAUUAUAGGGUUAACCCCUCACUAACAUGUUGAAGCUAUCCUCACAUGGUGGGUUUGUGGUUUUAGGUUGAGUUUUCUCCCUUGGAUAACAAAAGACCUUAAGGCUUUUGGACCAAUCAAUUCACCAACUCAUUUUUUGAAAUUUUUACCCCAAACUACGAGGUUUUGAUCCUAAUCUUUUUUAAGAUGGUACGUAGGCAAUGGGUUUAUCCAUCCAAACACAAAAAUGUAAAUAACUUGCAUAUUCUCUUCUCAUCUCUUCAAUCAUGUUUGCACAAACAAAUUUUCACAAAAUACCAACCUUACAACAAGUGUGAAAAGGGCUCCCUAGGAGUACCUAGGAUGUUUUGGGUGCUUAAAACCUUCCCAUUGCAUAACCAACCCCCUUACCCCGAUCUCUGACAUUUUUACUAGUUUUUAAUUCGAUAAAAUUUUUAGGUUUUUAUUCGCUUUCUAACCAUUCCUUUGAAUAAAUAGAAGUGCGGUGGCGACUCGACUUGUAUGGUUUACCUUAGAUUUAGUCAAUAUCUCUAAUGGUAACGAAUACCCCACUACAAUAAUAAUUAAGGUGUUUUGAAUGGAUGACGAUUACUCGGAUAAUCGAGUAAGACAACUCGUAUCCUAAUGGUCGGAAAAGGGAAUAGAAAACUCUAGACCACUUUCUCUUUCAUCUGAGUGGUUAUGAAAAUAAGUUUACGUAUGGUUGAUGUAUUUUUAGAAUAGACGACAAGUACUUGAAUGGUUGAGUAAGACAACUCAUAUCCAAGCAUUUGAGGAGAGGAAUCUAAGGCUCAAGACCAUCUCCCUUUUCGUAUAGUUUGUUAUGAAAAUGAUUUGAUUAAGUUGUAUGUUUGUGGAAAAAUGACAAUUGCUCGACUGGCCGAGUAAGAGAACUCGUAUUCAAGCAAUUGAGGAGAAAAGUUGAAAACUCAAAGUCAUCUCCCUUUUCAUUUCUUAUUAUGAAAAUAAUUUGAUUUAGUCGGGUUUGGAAGUUUGUAGAGGAACGACAAUUAUUUGACUAACCAAGUAAGAGAACUCGUAUUCAAAUAAUCGAGGAGAAAAAUUGAAGACUCAAAGUCAUCUCCCUUUUCCUUUCUUAUUAUAAAAGAGUUUGAUUUAUUUGUUCUUAAGUGGGUGGAAGUGACGACUAUUUGACUAACCGAAUAAGAGAACUCGUAUUCAAAUAAUCGAGGAGAGGAAUUGAAAACUCAAAGCCACCCCCCUUUUCAUUUCCAAAUGAAAUGUUGUUUGAUUGUGAUUGGAUACGUUCUUUUAAUUUUUAAUGAAAAUACUCGACAUUGGAUUGAGGUUUUGAUUUUGUGUUUAUGAAUGAAAUGAAUUUUAUUUUAGUGUAUUAUUCUUCUACUCGAUUAAUUAAUAACUGGAUAGGUCUCAUUGUAAGAAAGCCCAAGAGUAAGCUAUGUGAGGUUGAUGGCGAUACUUUUACAAGUAAUCGACUUACAAAGGCGUUUUGAAAAUGGGCUCGACUUUGAAUCGAGAAGUAUGUGUUUUAUUUUUUUGAAAUUGGCUCGAAUGAUUUUAAAUUGGUGAUAACGACAUAAUCUCGUCAUAAUUAUAACAUGUCAUCCAUAUGCACUCGAGACUCGGUAUAAAUAAAUAAAUACAAAAUAAUCAUGCACAUACACUCCACAAAAAUCAACAAUUAUCUAAAUUAUAAGUGAUAUUAAUAAUAAUAUAAUUAAUUAAUUAAAUAUUUAGUAGAUUAUUUUGAUUAAAUAAUAAGUAAUUAAAAAAAUGAUGAUAUAACCAAAUAAUUGCAUAUUUAUCAUUAAAUAUUAAUAAUAGUAAUAACAAUAUAAUUGUGUAUUUACUAUUAAGUACUAAUAAUAAUAAUGAUAAUAAUAAUAAUAAUAUAUAAUUAUAACUUUGAAAGAAAGUAAAUAAAAUAAAAUAAAUGAAAUUAAAGUAAAAAAAUAUUUAAAUUUUGUAAAAUAAUUAAACAACUAUCAUUAGGAAUUAAACUAUUAUAUAUAUAUAUAUAUAUAUAUAUAUAUAUAUAUAUAUAUAUAUAUAUUAUAAGUAUAUAUGUAAAAAAUAUAAAUAAAAAAGAAAGAAUAAGUCAAAAAAUAAAGAAAAUGGGCUAGUGGUGGUGAAAAAUUAAUAAAAUAAUUUAAUCAAAUUAAAUCAAAGAUACCGAUGAAUUAAUUUAAAUAAAAUAGGGUCUACUUAGGAUAUUUAAGUAAUUUAGAUUAACAAAAAUAAUUCAGGAUAAUGAGUCAUUAAAUUAAAAAAAUUAGUAAAUUGAAUUGUUAGUUAACUAAUUGAAGCUAAUUGUUAGCUAACAUGAUUAUCUUUUAAAUCCUCCACACAGUAAAACAGAAGAAAAAGAAAUGGGCUAAAACCGAAUUUAAUGAAAAAUAGGAAUAAACAAAUGUGCUUUUUUUGACUGAACAUAUGCUAUAUUCUAAUAUGCAAUGUCACCUAGUAUUCAAAGUUAAUUUAUUGUUUUUUAUUAAUGAUGCAUUGAAUAAAAUAACAAAUAGGGGUGGCUGUCAGCAUAGCCCACACGGUAUCCCCAAGAAAAAUCAAUUACUCACCAUAAGAACCUUCCAUAUACUAACAUAUGACACCUAAUGAUGUUUAAAGAGAAAUAAACAAUAAUAAAUGAAAAUUAAAGUAAUGCUUGGAUAUUUUAAAAAACGUAAGGACGAAAAACGUUCCUUCACAAAACCAAUGCACCUCUUUCUUAAUCUAACACCCUUUCCUCCUAUCCAUUUCUUCUCUCCAAAAGGGUUUAUGAAAAAAAAGUUCAGUUCACCAUCAAGUUUAUCGCACAACAAAAAUAUUCAAACACAAAGAUCUACCUCAAACGAUACAAAACCCCAAAUCUCAAAAUUAGCAACGAAAUUUUGCAAACAAAAGUUUAUCGCACAACAAAAAUAUUCAAACACAAAGAUCUACCUCAAACGAUACAAAACCCCAAAUCUCAAAAUUAGCAACGAAAUUUUGCAAACAACCUCCAAAAGACCCAAAUCGUGACUUUACAAAAAAAAAACUAAAAAUUGAAACAAAUCGAACCAUCAUCAUCAAUAAAUUCAAGCAAUCUAAAGGAGGCUCCUACUCAGUUAAUCACGACAAACAUGCAGGCACAAUCAAUUUGGAUCCAAACAUGAAGAAAUUUACCUGACCGAAGCUAGUUCAACGAAGUUCUCUCCGGCAACCCUCAGAUAACUCUAUUUCCUCUUCUUUUCGGUUUUACGAUGGCCUCCUCCUUCUGUUUUGAUGUUGUGUUAUCCUUUAAUGUUAGGGUUUUUUGUGUUUUUUACAAAAUAUUUUUUGAUUUGUUCUGCUCGGAUCCUCAAAAACGUGUGUUCUGUUUCUUUUGAGUUAACAAAGAAAAGAUUACUUUGACAAUUUCUUCUGGAUUUUAUUAAAACGUGUUACUGUUAAUUAGUUUUGUGGUUUAUAUACAUGAAUGUUGGUUUAUGUGAUAUAACUUGUUGGAUCCUAUUUCCAGAUUUUGUGGUAUGAUUAAUCUAUGGAUUUAAAGUUGUUUAUUUGGAUAAUGCAGUGUGUUUCUGAGCGCUUCCUUUGAUUCAUUGUGUAACAUAUUAAUUUGCUCUUUCUAUUAAUUAUUUUCCAGGUUUUUAAGUGCUUAUUUGAUAAGAUGUUUUUAAUUUUGAAUUGGUUUUGCAGGUUAAGUGAUAUUGAUGCUGAUUGAUUGAAAAAGGGGCGCUGUUAUUCAACAGGUUUUGGAAAAGUUCUGAAGAGUUGCUUUUGAAUUGGGAACUUCCAAAAGAGCUUUUGGAAAAGUCUGUGAAAUUUGCUUCAAACUGCUGUGUUUACAGCUUAUUCCAAUUUUUUUAAUAAAAUUAUUUCUGAUGUAACAGAGACUUUUUGGAUUAUGAACUUAGGGACUGCUUGUAACAUGUACAAAUUUAAUUUGGAAUUUCUCUUUUUGGACAAUUAUGUAAUUGUUUUGGAUUAUUAGGAAUUUGGGAUUAGUUAGGAUAUAUUAAACUGUAAGAAAAAUUGGGUUAGACGUGUAACCCUUUGGAUCAUUUGCAAAAUUUACAUAAUUUUAAUUUAAGUUUUUUUGUUAUUUAUGUGGAUACUUUUGGGUUAUUAUGUAACAUUUGGAUUAAAUAGGAAUAUGAUUUGGGAAUAUUAUUUGUGUAAUUAGUCUCUCUUUCUUUUUUUUUUAAAGAAAAAUUAAACUUUGUCUUAAC
Molecule: long non-coding RNA, 6781 nt
Filed under: Lathyrus oleraceus (garden pea)
Lineage: Eukaryota; Viridiplantae; Streptophyta; Magnoliopsida; Fabales; Fabaceae
Description: Pisum sativum (pea) long non-coding RNA (PSAT_LNC041886)
Source: RNAcentral